Molecule: ribosomal RNA, 912 nt
Filed under: Bifidobacterium longum
Lineage: Bacteria; Bacillati; Actinomycetota; Actinomycetes; Bifidobacteriales; Bifidobacteriaceae
Description: bacterial SSU rRNA
Rfam family: Bacterial small subunit ribosomal RNA
Source: RNAcentral
AGAGUUUGAUCAUGGCUCAGGAUGAACGCUGGCGGCGUGCUUAACACAUGCAAGUCGAACGGGAUCCAUCGGGCUUUGCUUGGUGGUGAGAGUGGCGAACGGGUGAGUAAUGCGUGACCGACCUGCCCCAUGCACCGGAAUAGCUCCUGGAAACGGGUGGUAAUGCCGGAUGUUCCAGUUGAUCGCAUGGUCUUCUGGGAAAGCUUUCGCGGUAUGGGAUGGGGUCGCGUCCUAUCAGCUUGACGGCGGGGUAACGGCCCACCGUGGCUUCGACGGGUAGCCGGCCUGAGAGGGCGACCGGCCACAUUGGGACUGAGAUACGGCCCAGACUCCUACGGGAGGCAGCAGUGGGGAAUAUUGCACAAUGGGCGCAAGCCUGAUGCAGCGACGCCGCGUGAGGGAUGGAGGCCUUCGGGUUGUAAACCUCUUUUAUCGGGGAGCAAGCGUGAGUGAGCUUACCCGUUGAAUAAGCACCGGCUAACUACGUGCCAGCAGCCGCGGUAAUACGUAGGGUGCAAGCGUUAUCCGGAAUUAUUGGGCGUAAAGGGCUCGUAGGCGGUUCGUCGCGUCCGGUGUGAAAGUCCAUCGCUUAACGGUGGAUCCGCGCCGGGUACGGGCGGGCUUGAGUGCGGUAGGGGAGACUGGAAUUCCCGGUGUAACGGUGGAAUGUGUAGAUAUCGGGAAGAACACCAAUGGCGAAGGCAGGUCUCUGGGCCGUUACUGACGCUGAGGAGCGAAAGCGUGGGGAGCGAACAGGAUUAGAUACCCUGGUAGUCCACGCCGUAAACGGUGGAUGCUGGAUGUGGGGCCCGUUCCACGGGUUCCGUGUCGGAGCUAACGCGUUAAGCAUCCCGCCUGGGGAGUACGGCCGCAAGGCUAAAACUCAAAGGAAUUGACGGGGGCCCGCACAAG